GCCGCCAUCGUCUAGGGGACUAGGACGCCGGCCUCUCACGCCGGAAACCCGGGUUCGAAUCCCGGUGGCGGUG
RNAcentral lists this transfer RNA (73 nucleotides) under Thermoleophilum album. It matches the Rfam family "tRNA". From Rfam's summary of the family: Transfer RNA (tRNA) molecules are approximately 80 nucleotides in length. Lineage: Bacteria; Bacillati; Actinomycetota; Thermoleophilia; Thermoleophilales; Thermoleophilaceae. RNAcentral also lists the same sequence under 2 other names. The record is from Rfam by way of RNAcentral.